UACAGAGGUCCCAAGCGUUAAUCGGAAUUACUGGGCGUAAAGCGCGCGUAGGUGGUUCGUUAAGUUGGAUGUGAAAUCCCCGGGCUCAACCUGGGAACUGCAUCCAAAACUGGCGAGCUAGAGUAUGGUAGAGGGUGGUGGAAUUUCCUGUGUAGCGGUGAAAUGCGUAGAUAUAGGAAGGAACACCAGUGGCGAAGGCGACCACCUGGACUGAUACUGACACUGAGGUGCGAAAGCGUGGGGAGCAAACAGG
Molecule: ribosomal RNA, 253 nt
Filed under: uncultured bacterium
Lineage: Bacteria
Description: partial 16S ribosomal RNA
Rfam family: Bacterial small subunit ribosomal RNA
Source: RNAcentral